This 75-nucleotide transfer RNA is filed under the name Sedimentibacter sp. zth1. RNAcentral's name for it is "tRNA-Gln". It matches the Rfam family "tRNA". From Rfam's summary of the family: Transfer RNA (tRNA) molecules are approximately 80 nucleotides in length. Their secondary structure includes four short double-helical elements and three loops (D, anti-codon, and T loops). Further hydrogen bonds mediate the characteristic L-shaped molecular structure. tRNAs have two regions of fundamental functional importance: the anti-codon, which is responsible for specific mRNA codon recognition, and the 3' end, to which the tRNAs corresponding amino acid is attached (by aminoacyl-tRNA synthetases). tRNAs cope with the degeneracy of the genetic code in two manners: having more than one tRNA (with a specific anti-codon) for a particular amino acid; and 'wobble' base-pairing, i.e. permitting non-standard base-pairing at the 3rd anti-codon position. The record is from RNAcentral. Lineage: Bacteria; Bacillati; Bacillota; Tissierellia.
UGGGGUAUAGCCAAGCGGUAAGGCACUAGACUUUGACUCUAGCAUUCGUAGGUUCAAAUCCUGCUACUCCAGCCA